Molecule: ribosomal RNA, 545 nt
Filed under: uncultured bacterium
Lineage: Bacteria
Description: bacterial SSU rRNA
Rfam family: Bacterial small subunit ribosomal RNA
Source: RNAcentral
ACUGCGACACUGACCAGACUCCUACGGGAGGCUGCAGUAGGGAAUAUUGGGCAAUGGACGUAAGUAUGACCCAGCCAUGCCGCGUACAGGAAGAAGGCCUUAUGGGUCGUAAACUGCUUUUAUACAGGAAAAAAAUUUAUCACGUGUGAUAAGCUGAUGGUACUGUAUGAAUAAGGAUCGGCUAACUCCGUGCCAGCAGCCGCGGUAAUACGGAGGAUCCAAGCGUUAUCCGGAUUCAUUGGGUUUAAAGGGUGCGUAGGCGGAAUAAUAAGUCAGUGGUGAAAUCUUAUAGCUUAACUGUAAAACUGCCAUUGAUACUGUUGUUCUUGAGUACAAUUGAAGUGGGUGGAAUGUAUCAUGUAGCGGUGAAAUGCUUAGAUAUGAUACAGAACACCAAUUGCGAAGGCAACUCACUAAAUUGUAACUGACGCUAAUGCACGAAAGCGUGGGGAGCAAACAGGAUUAGAUACCCUGGUAGUCCACGCUGUAAACGAUGAUUACUCGAUGUUGGCGAUACACUGUCAGCGUCUGAGCGAAAGCAUUAA